CAGAACACCGCCGCCUCCACUCCCCCACCAACAACACCUCCUCCCCAGCACCCAACUCUUUCUCCAGUGCCAGAUCGGCCGCCGCCGCCUUUUCUCCUGCACCAGCUCCGACCCGACGCCGCCCCACCGGUUGACCUCGCCGUCGACACAGCCGGUUCUGCAACGCCGGCCCUACCGCAGCUCCCCCACAUGGUGCGCGACGACGAGGCCCAGAAGGUGCGCUCCGGCAUGUGCUCGCCCUGCCGCGACGACUUACCUUGACCCCGCCGACCGCCCAGGACCUCCUCGGCCGGCAUCCAAAGGGAGAGAAAUUUGACGCCCAAUGGAGUGGAUCAUCAGGUCGGCGGAGGAGGGACGAAGGGUGCUGGUGGUGCAGGCCGGCAGCGCCCGCGCUCCCAGGUGAAGGGCGGCGACCAUGGCCUUGGCCUUGGCGCGGCUGUGGCGCCUCCAUGACCAUGAGCAGCCCGGGUGCUCCAAAGGUGAAGGGUGGCGGCCAUGGGAAGAUGUUGGUGCAGGUUCGAGAGAUCGCAUGCCCGUGCUCACAAGGCGACGGCCAUGGCGACGGUGGGAGUAGAGGGAGCUGUGGUGGCGUAGGGCGUAGGGGAAGCAGAGCAACUGGAUCUGAGCAUCCGGACUCUGCCAUACACCGUGAGCCCCUUGUUGUUUAGAUCUGGCUAUUCACGAUGCAAGGAUUCGUUGGAUUUUUCCGCUUCUCUAUGUAAUUACUUCUUCUGUUUUUAAUCUUUGUUGCUCCCUGAGAUGGAUUCGUUGCAGAUCUAGCCCUUAUGUGUUACUACAGCGAAAAUUAUUCUCAGUUCUUCAUUGUCUA
Molecule: long non-coding RNA, 829 nt
Organism: Lolium perenne
Lineage: Eukaryota; Viridiplantae; Streptophyta; Magnoliopsida; Poales; Poaceae
Source: RefSeq, a predicted model, not a curated record